RNAcentral lists this unclassified non-coding RNA (392 nucleotides) under soil metagenome. RNAcentral's name for it is "partial contains 5.8S ribosomal RNA, internal transcribed spacer 2, and large subunit ribosomal RNA". The stretch from base 1 to 122 matches the Rfam family "5.8S ribosomal RNA", at positions 35 to 154 of the family's 154-position model. The record is from RNAcentral.
GAUGAAGAACGCAGCGAAAUGCGAUACUUGGUGUGAAUUGCAGAAUCCCGUGAACCAUCGAGUCUUUGAACGCAAGUUGCGCCCGAAGCCAUCAGGUUGAGGGCACGUCUGCCUGGGCGUCACAUAUCGUUGCUCGAUGCCUAUCGCAUUGCGAUAGGACUUAGGGCGAAUGAUGGCUUCCCGUGAGCGUUGUUGCCUCGCGGUUGGUUGAAAAUCGAGUCCUUGGUAGGGUGUGCCAUGAUAGAUGGUGGUCGAGUUAGCACGAGACCGAGCAUGUGCAUGCUCCCAAAAAUAUGGCCUCUGUGACCCACACGCGUCUUUUGACGCUCAUUAUGAGACCUCAGGUCAGGCGGGGCUACCCGCUGAAUUUAAGCAUAUCAAUAAGCGGAGGA